AGCAGUGGGGAAUUUUGGACAAUGGGCGCAAGCCUGAUCCAGCAAUGCCGCGUGAGUGAAGAAGGCCUUCGGGUUGUAAAGCUCUUUUGUCAGGGAAGAAACGGUGAGGGCUAAUAUCCUUUGCUAAUGACGGUACCUGAAGAAUAAGCACCGGCUAACUACGUGCCAGCAGCCGCGGUAAUACGUAGGGUGCAAGCGUUAAUCGGAAUUACUGGGCGUAAAGCGUGCGCAGGCGGUUUUGUAAGUUUGUCGUGAAAGCCCCGGGCUCAACCUGGGAAUUGCGAUGAAGACUGCAAGGCUUGAAUCUGGCAGAGGGGGGUAGAAUUCCACGUGUAGCAGUGAAAUGCGUAGAGAUGUGGAGGAACACCGAUGGCGAAGGCAGCCCCCUGGGUCAAGAUUGACGCUCAUG
RNAcentral lists this ribosomal RNA (409 nucleotides) under uncultured bacterium. RNAcentral's name for it is "bacterial SSU rRNA". It matches the Rfam family "Bacterial small subunit ribosomal RNA", at positions 350 to 751 of the family's 1533-position model. The record is from RNAcentral.